GAUGAACGCUGGCGGCGUGCCUAAUACAUGCAAGUCGAGCGAACAGACGAGGAGCUUGCUCCUCUGACGUUAGCGGCGGACGGGUGAGUAACACGUGGAUAACCUACCUAUAAGACUGGGAUAACUUCGGGAAACCGGAGCUAAUACCGGAUAAUAUAUUGAACCGCAUGGUUCAAUAGUGAAAGACGGUUUUGCUGUCACUUAUAGAUGGAUCCGCGCCGCAUUAGCUAGUUGGUAAGGUAACGGCUUACCAAGGCAACGAUGCGUAGCCGACCUGAGAGGGUGAUCGGCAACACUGGAACGGAAAAAAGGUCCAGACUCCUAAGGGAGGCAGCAGUAGGGAAUCUUCCGCAAUGGGCGAAAGCCUGACGGAGCAACGCCGCGUGAGUGAUGAAGGUCUUCGGAUCGUAAAACUCUGUUAUUAGGGAAGAACAAAUGUGUAAGUAACUAUGCACGUCUUGACGGUACCUAAUCAGAAAGCCACGGCUAACUACGUG
Molecule: ribosomal RNA, 497 nt
Filed under: uncultured bacterium
Lineage: Bacteria
Description: partial 16S ribosomal RNA
Rfam family: Bacterial small subunit ribosomal RNA
Source: RNAcentral